RNAcentral lists this ribosomal RNA (785 nucleotides) under uncultured Mycobacterium sp. Its description in RNAcentral is "bacterial SSU rRNA". It matches the Rfam family "Bacterial small subunit ribosomal RNA", at positions 555 to 1338 of the family's 1533-position model. Lineage: Bacteria; Bacillati; Actinomycetota; Actinomycetes; Mycobacteriales; Mycobacteriaceae. The record is from RNAcentral.
UGGGCGUAAAGAGCUCGUAGGUGGUUUGUCGCGUUGUUCGUGAAAUCUCACGGCUUAACUGUGAGCGUGCGGGCGAUACGGGCAGACUUGAGUACUGCAGGGGAGACUGGAAUUCCUGGUGUAGCGGUGGAAUGCGCAGAUAUCAGGAGGAACACCGGUGGCGAAGGCGGGUCUCUGGGCAGUAACUGACGCUGAGGAGCGAAAGCGUGGGGAGCGAACAGGAUUAGAUACCCUGGUAGUCCACGCCGUAAACGGUGGGUACUAGGUGUGGGUUUCCUUCCUUGGGAUCCGUGCCGUAGCUAACGCAUUAAGUACCCCGCCUGGGGAGUACGGCCGCAAGGCUAAAACUCAAAGAAAUUGACGGGGGCCCGCACAAGCGGCGGAGCAUGUGGAUUAAUUCGAUGCAACGCGAAGAACCUUACCUGGGUUUGACAUGCACAGGACGCCGGCAGAGAUGUCGGUUCCCUUGUGGCCUGUGUGCAGGUGGUGCAUGGCUGUCGUCAGCUCGUGUCGUGAGAUGUUGGGUUAAGUCCCGCAACGAGCGCAACCCUUGUCUCAUGUUGCCAGCGGGUAAUGCCGGGGACUCGUGAGAGACUGCCGGGGUCAACUCGGAGGAAGGUGGGGAUGACGUCAAGUCAUCAUGCCCCUUAUGUCCAGGGCUUCACACAUGCUACAAUGGCCGGUACAAAGGGCUGCGAUGCCGCGAGGUUAAGCGAAUCCUUUUAAAGCCGGUCUCAGUUCGGAUCGGGGUCUGCAACUCGACCCCGUGAAGUCGGAGUCGCUAG